CCUACGGGAGGCAGCAGUGAGGAAUAUUGGUCAAUGGGCGCGAGCCUGAACCAGCCAAGUCGCGUGAGGGAAGACGGCCCUACGGGUUGUAAACCUCUUUUGCCGGGGAGCAACGGGCGCCACGUGUGGCGCCACUGAGAGUACCCGGAGAAAAAGCAUCGGCUAACUCCGUUCCAGCAGACGCGGUAAUACGGAGGAUGCGGGCGUUAUCCGGAUUUAUUGGGUUUAAAGGGUGCGUUGGCGGAGCGUUAAGUCCGUGGUAAAAUUUGGGGGCUCAACCCCUUACCGCAAUUGAAACUGGCGCCCUUGAGUGGAAGAGAAGUAUGCGGAAUGCGUGGUGUAGCGGUGAAAUGCAUAGAUAUCACGCAGAACCCCGAUUGCGAAGGCAGCAUGCCGGCUUCCUACUGACGCUGAAGCACGAAAGCGUGGGGAUCGAACAGGAUUAGAUACCCGAGUAGUC
Molecule: ribosomal RNA, 460 nt
Filed under: uncultured bacterium
Lineage: Bacteria
Description: partial 16S ribosomal RNA
Rfam family: Bacterial small subunit ribosomal RNA
Source: RNAcentral